GACGAACGCUGGCGGCGUGCUUAACACAUGCAAGUCGAACGGAAAGGCCCUGCUUUUGUGGGGUGCUCGAGUGGCGAACGGGUGAGUAACACGUGAGUAACCUGCCCUUGACUUUGGGAUAACUUCAGGAAACUGGGGCUAAUACCGGAUAGGAGCUCCUGCUGCAUGGUGGGGGUUGGAAAGUUUCGGCGGUUGGGGAUGGACUCGCGGCUUAUCAGCUUGUUGGUGGGGUAGUGGCUUACGAAGGCUUUGACGGGUGGCCGGCCUGAGAGGGUGGCCGGCCACAUUGGGCCUGAGAUAGGGCCCAGACUCCUACGGGAGGCAACAGUGGAGAAUAUUGCACAGUGGGCGGACGCCUGAUGCGGCGACGCCGCGUGCGGGAAGAAGGCCUUCGGGUUGUAAACCGCUUUCGCCUGUGACGAAGCGUGAGUGACGGUAAUGGGUAAAGAAGCACCGGCUAACUACGUG
This 468-nucleotide ribosomal RNA is filed under the name uncultured bacterium. RNAcentral describes it as "partial 16S ribosomal RNA". It matches the Rfam family "Bacterial small subunit ribosomal RNA", at positions 28 to 507 of the family's 1533-position model. The record is from RNAcentral.